Molecule: ribosomal RNA, 448 nt
Filed under: uncultured bacterium
Lineage: Bacteria
Description: bacterial SSU rRNA
Rfam family: Bacterial small subunit ribosomal RNA
Source: RNAcentral
UCCAGACUCCUACGGGAGGCAGCAGUGGGGAAUAUUGGGCAAUGGACGCAAGCCUGACCCAGCAACGCCGCGUGAAGGAAGAAGGCUUUCGGGUUGUAAACUUCUUUUCUCAGGGACGAAGCAAGUGACGGUACCUGAGGAAUAAGCCACGGCUAACUACGUGCCAGCAGCCGCGGUAAUACGUAGGUGGCAAGCGUUAUCCGGAUUUACUGGGUGUAAAGGGCGUGUAGGCGGGGACGCAAGUCAGAUGUGAAAACCAUGGGCUCAACCUGUGGCCUGCAUUUGAAACUGUUUUUCUUGAGUACUGGAGAGGCAGACGGAAUUCCUAGUGUAGCGGUGAAAUGCGUAGAUAUUAGGAGGAACACCAGUGGCGAAGGCGGCCUGCUGGACGACAACUGACGGUGAGGCGCGAAAGCGUGGGGAGCAAACAGGAUUAGAUACCCCUGUA